GCGGCCGUGGCGAAAUCAGGCAGCACGCGAGGGUUUUAGGUGCCCUUGGGCGAAAGCCCGUGUGGGUUCGAAUCCCACCGGCCGCAC
Molecule: transfer RNA, 87 nt
Filed under: Streptomyces fumigatiscleroticus
Lineage: Bacteria; Bacillati; Actinomycetota; Actinomycetes; Kitasatosporales; Streptomycetaceae
Description: tRNA-Leu
Rfam family: tRNA
About the family: Transfer RNA (tRNA) molecules are approximately 80 nucleotides in length.
Source: RNAcentral